GAUGAACGCUGGCGGCGUGCCUAAUACAUGCAAGUCGAACGAGGUGCUUUUGUAGCAAUACGAGAGUAUCCUAGUGGCGAACGGGUGAGUAACGCGUUGGUGACCUGCCCCAAAGUGUGGGAUAACAGACCGAAAGGUUUGCUAAUACCGCAUGUGGUCUUGAGGAUUAGAUGCCUCACUUCGAAAGGAGUAAUCCGCUUUGGGAGGGACCUGCGUCCCAUCAGCUAGUUGGUAGGGUAACGGCUUACCAAGGCUUCGACGGGUAGGGGGCCUGAGAGGGUGGCCCCCCACAAUGGAACUGAAACACGGUCCAUACACCUACGGGUGGCUG
Molecule: ribosomal RNA, 331 nt
Filed under: uncultured Chloroflexota bacterium
Lineage: Bacteria; Bacillati; Chloroflexota
Description: bacterial SSU rRNA
Rfam family: Bacterial small subunit ribosomal RNA
Source: RNAcentral